Molecule: long non-coding RNA, 326 nt
Filed under: Arabidopsis lyrata
Lineage: Eukaryota; Viridiplantae; Streptophyta; Magnoliopsida; Brassicales; Brassicaceae
Description: long non-coding RNA (ALYR_LNC002598)
Source: RNAcentral
UCUGAUACAGCAAGGCACUCGAGCUUAGGUGAAUCACACAACCUAAGAACAAGCAAAAGUCUCUACAAGGCGGCGGCUUGAGAGGAAGAAAGUUCUACUUUAUUGAUAUGAGAAAAAGCGUGAAUGUUACAAAGCUGCAGGGGAACCUUAUAAAGGGGUUCGUCAGCUAGCCCUAGGGCGACUCAAAUAACCAAAAACGACACAGCAACAGGACUUAAUGGAAAUUAAAAGAAAAAGGAAAAAGUACUUAAACAACAAAAAUGGAAAAUAAGCAAAAAUAAGCUAACUACGUUGCUCACUUGCUGGGGCUCGUUCCCUGGUCUCUU